Molecule: ribosomal RNA, 662 nt
Filed under: uncultured Actinomycetes bacterium
Lineage: Bacteria; Bacillati; Actinomycetota; Actinomycetes
Description: bacterial SSU rRNA
Rfam family: Bacterial small subunit ribosomal RNA
Source: RNAcentral
AACACAUGCAAGUCGAACGGAAAGGCCAGUGCUUGCACUGGUACUCGAGUGGCGAACGGGUGAGUAACACGUGGGUGAUCUGCCCUGCACUUCGGGAUAAGCCUGGGAAACUGGGUCUAAUACCGGAUAGGACCACAUUUUGGAUGGUGUGGUGGAAAGUUUUCCGGUGUGGGAUGAGCUCGCGGCCUAUCAGCUUGUUGGUGGGGUAAUGGCCUACCAAGGCGUCGACGGGUAGCCGGCCUGAGAGGGUGUACGGCCACAUUGGGACUGAGAUACGGCCCAGACUCCUACGGGAGGCAGCAGUGGGGAAUAUUGCACAAUGGGCGCAAGCCUGAUGCAGCGACGCCGCGUGGGGGAUGACGGCCUUCGGGUUGUAAACUCCUUUCGCUAGGGACGAAGCGCAAGUGACGGUACCUGGAGAAGAAGCACCGGCUAACUACGUGCCAGCAGCCGCGGUAAUACGUAGGGUGCGAGCGUUGUCCGGAAUUACUGGGCGUAAAGAGCUCGUAGGUGGUUUGUCGCGUCGUUUGUGUAAGCCCGCAGCUUAACUGCGGGACUGCAGGCGAUACGGGCAUAACUUGAGUGCUGUAGGGGAGACUGGAAUUCCUGGUGUAGCGGUGGAAUGCGCAGAUAUCAGGAGGAACACCGAUGGCGAAGGCAGG